This 738-nucleotide long non-coding RNA is filed under the name Drosophila melanogaster (fruit fly). RNAcentral's name for it is "long non-coding RNA:CR45197 (Dmel_CR45197)". The record is from RNAcentral. Lineage: Eukaryota; Metazoa; Arthropoda; Insecta; Diptera; Drosophilidae.
AGGCAGAAGAGGACAGAAGAGGAGGCGAAGAUGAAGUAAAGUGGAACAGAUUGAGAAAGAGAAGGAGAAUGAGAAGGAGGAACAGAAACAAAGCAAAGCCCCGAGCAUAAUGUUAAUGUUAUGUUAAAACCUAAAUUUAAUGCAAAUUAUUAACGCAGAAAAGAACGAAAGAGAAAAGGAAAAAACAAAAAAAAAAAAAGCAAAAAAACAAAGCAAAAGCGAAAGCGAAACUGUUUAAACUAUACCAAUAUAAUAUAUAAUCAUUAUGAAUAUAAACUAUAUAUUUUUUUUUUUUUUCAACACACACAUUAUGUAUACAUACAUACUGAAUAAAUAAAUUAUUUUUAUUUUUAUUAUAUAUCGUAUCGUAUAUCGUAUAUAUUUUUUUUCGCGCUAAAAUAUAUAUGUACAGAUACCAUUAUUUAGCCAGUAGAUGAGUUAUACGGACACAUACGGACAUACAGAACGGAGGAGGAAGAGAGCGCAGGCGUGGAGCUGGCGCCUGAGAACCGGCGGAUUAGUUGCAAUAUGUAGAUAAGGUCCAAAUAACCGGGUUCCCGCCACCGUAGAGCUCCAUUAUUAUUAUUCGCAUAGAUAGUCAGUGUCGUCCUGCCUCGCCCCCAAAAAGCUCCUUCCCCGCUCCCCCGCUCGCCACAAUUUCCGCACAGAGCUGCUACUGAAUAUUAUUAACAAUUUCUUGCUCAGAGUGGCAAGGGAAGAAGAAGAAAAGAAAAAAAA